Molecule: ribosomal RNA, 254 nt
Filed under: uncultured bacterium
Lineage: Bacteria
Description: partial 16S ribosomal RNA
Rfam family: Bacterial small subunit ribosomal RNA
Source: RNAcentral
UACGUAGGGUGCAAGCGUUUGUCCGGAAUUAUUGGGCGUAAAGAGCUCGUAGGCGGUUUGUCGCGUCUGCUGUGAAAACUCGGGGCUUAACCCCGGGCCUGCAGUGGGUACGGGCAGACUAGAGUGCGGUAGGGGAGACUGGAAUUCCUGGUGUAGCGGUGAAAUGCGCAGAUAUCAGGAGGAACACCGGUGGCGAAGGCGGGUCUCUGGGCCGUAACUGACGCUGAGGAGCGAAAGCGUGGGGAGCGAACAGG